Molecule: ribosomal RNA, 642 nt
Filed under: uncultured bacterium
Lineage: Bacteria
Description: bacterial SSU rRNA
Rfam family: Bacterial small subunit ribosomal RNA
Source: RNAcentral
GAGUUUGAUCCUGGCUCAGGACGAACGCUGGCGGCGUGCCUAACACAUGCAAGUCGAACGAAGCUUGACGAUAGAUUUCUUCGGAAUGAAAUCAGAUAUGACUGAGUGGCGGACGGGUGAGUAACGCGUGAGCAACCUGCCCCUUGGAACGGGAUAGCGUCUGGAAAUGGACGGUAAUACCGUAUAAAAUAUUUUGAUGGCAUCAUUGAAAUAUCAAAACUCCGGUGCCAAGGGAUGGGCUCGCGUCUGAUUAGAUAGUUGGUGGGGUAACGGCCUACCAAGUCGACGAUCAGUAGCCGGACUGAGAGGUUGAACGGCCACAUUGGGACUGAGACACGGCCCAGACUCCUACGGGAGGCAGCAGUGGGGAAUAUUGCACAAUGGGGGAAACCCUGAUGCAGCAACGCCGCGUGAAGGAAGACGGUUUUCGGAUUGUAAACUUCUGUUCUUAGUGAAGAAACAUGACGGUAGCUAAGGAGCAAGCCACGGCUAACUACGUGCCAGCAGCCGCGGUAAUACGUAGGUGGCAAGCGUUGUCCGGAAUUACUGGGUGUAAAGGGAGCGUAGGCGGGAAGCCAAGUCAGCUGUGAAAACUACGGGCUUAACUUGUAGACUGCAGUUGAAACUGGUUUUCUUGAGUGA